This 765-nucleotide ribosomal RNA is filed under the name uncultured Streptococcus sp. RNAcentral's name for it is "bacterial SSU rRNA". It matches the Rfam family "Bacterial small subunit ribosomal RNA", at positions 28 to 776 of the family's 1533-position model. Lineage: Bacteria; Bacillati; Bacillota; Bacilli; Lactobacillales; Streptococcaceae. The record is from RNAcentral.
GAUGAACGCUGGCGGCGUGCCUAAUACAUGCAAGUAGAACGCUGAAGGAAGGAGCUUGCUCUUUCUGGAUGAGUUGCGAACGGGUGAGUAACGCGUAGGUAACCUGCCUGGUAGCGGGGGAUAACUAUUGGAAACGAUAGCUAAUACCGCAUAACAGUAGAUGUUGCAUGAUAUCUGCUUGAAAGGGGCAAUUGCUCCACUACCAGAUGGACCUGCGUUGUAUUAGCUAGUUGGUGAGGUAACGGCUCACCAAGGCGACGAUACAUAGCCGACCUGAGAGGGUGAUCGGCCACACUGGGACUGAGACACGGCCCAGACUCCUACGGGAGGCAGCAGUAGGGAAUCUUCGGCAAUGGACGGAAGUCUGACCGAGCAACGCCGCGUGAGUGAAGAAGGUUUUCGGAUCGUAAAGCUCUGUUGUAAGAGAAGAACGAGUGUGAGAGUGGAAAGUUCACACUGUGACGGUAUCUUACCAGAAAGGGACGGCUAACUACGUGCCAGCAGCCGCGGUAAUACGUAGGUCCCGAGCGUUAUCCGGAUUUAUUGGGCGUAAAGCGAGCGCAGGCGGUUAGAUAAGUCUGAAGUUAAAGGCUGUGGCUUAACCAUAGUACGCUUUGGAAACUGUUUAACUUGAGUGCAGAAGGGGAGAGUGGAAUUCCAUGUGUAGCGGUGAAAUGCGUAGAUAUAUGGAGGAACACCGGUGGCGAAAGCGGCUCUCUGGUCUGUAACUGACGCUGAGGCUCGAAAGCGUGGGGAGCAAACAGG